CCUACGGGAGGCAGCAGUGGGGAAUAUUGGGCAAUGGGCGCAAGCCUGACCCAGCAACGCCGCGUGAAGGAAGCAGGCUUUCGGGUUGUAAACUUUUUUUUAGAGGGAAGUGUAGAAGUCGGUACCUCUUGAUUAAGCUAUGGCUAAUUACGUGCCAGCAGCCGCGGUCAUACGUAGGUGGCAAGCGUUGUCCGGAUUUCCUGGGUUUAAAGGGUGUGUAGCCGGGCCGGCAAGUCAGAUGUGAAAUCCAAAGGCUCAACCUUGGAACUGCAGUUGAAACUGUUGGUCUUGAGUAUCGUAGAGGCAGGCGGAAUUCGUGGUGUAGCGGUGAAAUGCGUAGAUAUUAGGAGGAACACCGGUGGCGAAGGCGGCUUGCUGGACGACAACUGACGGUGAGGCGCGAAAGCGUGGGGAGCAAACAGGAUUAGAUACCCGAGUAGUC
RNAcentral lists this ribosomal RNA (442 nucleotides) under uncultured bacterium. RNAcentral's name for it is "partial 16S ribosomal RNA". It matches the Rfam family "Bacterial small subunit ribosomal RNA", at positions 338 to 795 of the family's 1533-position model. The record is from RNAcentral.